UACAGAGGGGGCAAGCGUUGUUCGGAAUUACUGGGCGUAAAGGGUGCGUAGGCGGCCUGCUAAGUCGAACGUGAAAUCCCCGGGCUCAACCCGGGAACUGCGUCCGAUACUGGCAGGCUUGAAUUCGGGAGAGGGAUGCGGAAUUCCAGGUGUAGCGGUGAAAUGCGUAGAUAUCUGGAGGAACACCGGUGGCGGAGGCGGCAUCCUGGACCGAAAUUGACGCUGAGGCGCGAAAGCCAGGGGAGCAAACGGG
RNAcentral lists this ribosomal RNA (253 nucleotides) under uncultured bacterium. Its description in RNAcentral is "partial 16S ribosomal RNA". It matches the Rfam family "Bacterial small subunit ribosomal RNA", at positions 524 to 776 of the family's 1533-position model. The record is from RNAcentral.